AAAUGCAUUUAAAGUGCUCUUGUACCCUGGUUCCAUGUGAUUAGUACACAUUAUGUUCUGCCAACGCAAGCAUGAAUCAUUAAUAUAUUCAGAGUCGGCUGCUCUCUGCAAUGAAACGCAAUAACUCAGCGUUGAGUAAAGCAGAGUCCGUGUUUAUAAGACGUGGAGCCUUCAGUUGGUGUGAUCUACAAUGUUGUUAUUUUGUGAGUCCAGGGUAUUGGGGACCUCAGAGACUGCCUGCCUCUCAGAGCAAUCACCAGGACAUUCCCAGAACCCACCUCUCUUUCUUCUCCUUUCCUCUGUGUGGACAGUACUCAACAGCUACGAGUUGGAGAACAGGUGUACUCUGAAGAGAUGUCGCUUGCUUCAAUUACACCAAAUUUGCAAAAGAAGUCAAAUUGCCAGAUUUCAAGGAGGAAACGUUUUUGAAGAGUCAUCAAGCUUGCAAA
Long non-coding RNA from Eptesicus fuscus (big brown bat), 449 nucleotides. RefSeq lists it as uncharacterized. The record is from RefSeq and is a predicted model, not a curated record. NCBI's taxonomy places the organism in Eukaryota, Metazoa, Chordata, Mammalia, Chiroptera, Vespertilionidae. The transcript is spliced from 3 exons.